Hypanus sabinus (Atlantic stingray) is the source of this 2758-nucleotide long non-coding RNA. RefSeq lists it as uncharacterized. NCBI's taxonomy places the organism in Eukaryota, Metazoa, Chordata, Chondrichthyes, Myliobatiformes, Dasyatidae. The transcript is spliced from 4 exons. The record is from RefSeq and is a predicted model, not a curated record.
CUAAAUGCACCUCUUCUGGAAAACCACAAAACCCCCGAGGUCCUCCAGCAUAAGCCUGUCCUGGCCAGCUUUUCCAUGGGUGGAUACAUGGCCUGUGGCCAAUACCAUUCAAUCAUCUUCCAUCUGACUUCACAUUCUAUCACCUCCAAUCUGUAAAAUAAUGCCACACUGUCAAAUCUGCAACGGGAAAUGAUGGGAAGACCUACAUGUAUUCCCCAGCAAGCAGUACACAAUUCACAAAGCAGAGGACUAAUUCUUGAAUUCAAUGGGAGAAGAAUCAUCAACAAUAGCCACUCCGGCUGAAAACUGGAGAUCUCACAGAUCAAUCACUCACGUGGAAAGUGCAUUGUUACAGCUGAAGCACAAAGUCGGACAUGCUUGAAUACGUGUGCACAGGUGCAAUGGAAAUAAAGCCUGCAACAGCAUCAAAAUCAAAGGGGAACUAUCACGCAGCAUCCACACAAGCAAGACUUCACAAGUUUGGUGGGGCUGGAGACAGCCUUCCCCUGGACUAACGCCACUGGCCGAACCUGAGGGUUAAAGGUAUAUUAGAGGUCCGUACUGAGCUAGGAGUAAAUACACAGACUACAGAAGAAUGGUACGGGGAUAGCAGUUUAGUCCAUGAUGUGUGUGCUGAACACAAGCCAAUCAAACUUAUUUCAUUUACCUGGACAUGGUCUAUUCACUGCCUGUACAGGGACAGGCCCUUGUCCGUGAUGUCUGUGCCAAACACACUGCUGAUCAAACUAAUCCCAUUUGCCUGGACACGGUCCAUAUCACUCCAUUCCCUGACUGUCUAAACACCUCUUAGACGUUGUUACCACAUCUGCUUCCACACUUCCACUGGCAUUCUGUUCCAGGCACCAUAAGACCAUGAGAUACAAGAGCAGAAUUCACCACCAUUCAAUCAUACUCAAUUUUAUAACUUUGUUCUCCCUCCUUCUCUUCAUACUCUUAAACACCUCCCCCCCCCCCCAUUACCAAACAAGAACCUACUCACUCUAAAUGCACACAAUGACUUGGUCUCCACAGCCGUCUGUGGCAGUGAAUUCCACAGAUUUGUCAUCCGCUGAUUUUAGAAUUCCAGAGAAUUCCAGAAAAACCAUGACGUUACAUGCUGAAGACACGUGAGUGUCCAGAUGCUGGAAUUUGGCUCAACAAAGCAUCUGCUGGAGAAACUCAGCAGGUUGAGCAGCAUCUGUGGGAGAAAAGGAACUGUGGAUAUUACAACACAGAAAUAGUCCCAUCGGCCCAACUGGCCCAUGCUGACCAAGGUAGCCAUUUAAGUUAGCUGCUUUUGCCUCAUCUCCUCCUUAAUCUUUCCUAUCCAUGCUUCUGCCUAAGUGUCUUUUAAAUAUUUACAUGGACUUUUAUGUCAUUUAAUAAAUAGUAUAUUGAUUCUGAAGAUGCAAGCUCCACCUACAAAAGUGUUUUAUUUUUCUUGCUUUUAAGUAUUUGCAUCAAGUUUUGGAAUUAUAUAAAGAUACAUUUUCUACUCUGGUUCAAACUUUGUUGCAAAAAAUAAUGGCAAUAAAUUCCACCUCCACAAUUCUCCUGAUAAUCACCCCCUACCCCACACAACUUGUCUCCCUCACCCUUGCUACCAGCAGGAUAAUGAUUUACUUUAGGAUCAGAGGCAAAGUGAGUGGCCCCUCGAUCAGGCAGAGGCUCUGGUUCUCCGAUGAUCAGAACCAGGUGUUAAUGUCAAGAAAUGUGUUGUUCUGUGGCAGCAGUACUGUGAAAAUUCCUACAGGUUACAAUCAUUUUUGGUUUGGGGCCCUUUAUCUAAGAAAAGAUGUGCUGAUGUUGGAAGGGGCUCAGAGGAGGUUCAGGAGAAUGAUUCCAGGAACGAAAGACUUAUUGCCUGAGGAAUGAUCGAUGGUUCUGGGCCUGUACUCACUGGAAUUCAGAAGAAUGUGAGGGGAUCUCAUUGAAACCUAUCAAAUCUUGAAAGGCCUCAGGAGGCUGGAUGUAGAGAGGAUGGUUCCUAUGGUGGGGAAGUCUAAGACCAGAAGGUACAGCCUCAGAAUAGAGGGACAUCCAUUUAGAAUGGAGGAGAAGAGGAAUUUUAUCUGCCAGACAGUAGUGAAUCCAUGGAAUUUGUUGCCAUAGAUGGUUGUGGAGGCCAAGUUAUUGGGUAUAUUUAAGGCAGAUGUUGAUAGAUUUGUGAUUAGUCAGGGCAUUAAGGGUUACAGGAAGAACAGAGGAGAUGAGACUUAGAGAAAAAUGGAUAAGCCAUGAUGAAAUGUGGAGAAGACUUAAUGGACCAAAUGGCCUAAUUCUGCUCCUAUAUCAUAUGAUUUAUGGUUGUACAUUUAGAGAUGCUCUACUGUACACCACUGUUCUAAUGUGUGUUUAUUUGAGUUAAUGUUGCUUUCCUGUCAGCUUGAGCCAGUCUGACCAUUCUCCUCUGAACUUUUUCAUUAACAAGGGAUGUUUGUGCACAAGCAUGGCUGUUCACUGGAUAGAUUUUGAUUUUCACAUUGUAAACUCUAGAGACUGUUGUGUGUGAAAAAAUCCCAUGAGAUCAGCAGUUUCUGAGAUACUCAAAGCACCCCAUCUGGCACCAACAGUCAAAGUCAUUUAGAUCACAUUUCUUCCCCAUUAUGAUGAUUGGCAUGAGCAUCAGUUGAACCUCUUGACCAUGUCUGCCUGCUUUUAUGCAUUGAGUUUCUGCCACAUGAUUGGCUGAUUAGAUAUUUGCAUUAACGAGCAAAUAGACAUGUGUAACUAAUAAAGUGAUCAUGGAUGUAUUUGC